RNAcentral lists this small RNA (303 nucleotides) under Mytilus galloprovincialis (Mediterranean mussel). Lineage: Eukaryota; Metazoa; Mollusca; Bivalvia; Mytilida; Mytilidae. The record is from RNAcentral.
AUGUGGAUUAUAUCAAGUCCUUUCCUACUUGCAGCAACUUUAGACUAUCAUCUUGACACAUACAACAGCAGCAAAUAUUUUAGAGAAAAUAUUUAUGUGGAUAAUGUAAUUACUGGAGUAGAUUCGACAGAGAAUGCAGUUACAUUAUAUAAAGAGGCAAAACAAAUAUUCAGUGAUGCAUCAAUGAACUUAAGAGAAUGGGCAUCAAAUUCACAGCAAUUUUUAAAAUGCAUUCCCAAGGAAGACCAGGCGAAUAGAGAAAAAUAUAAAGGUUCUUGGAUUAACUUGGACAAUAAAAGAUGA